AUUGAACGCUGGCGGCAGGCCUAACACAUGCAAGUCGAACGGUAACAGGAAACAGCUUGCUGUUUCGCUGACGAGUGGCGGACGGGUGAGUCAUGUCUGGGAAACUGCCUGAUGGAGGGGGAUAACUACUGGAAACGGUAGCUAAUACCGCAUAACGUCGCAAGACCAAAGAGGGGGACCUUCGGGCCUCUUGCCAUCGGAUGUGCCCAGAUGGGAUUAGCUAGUAGGUGGGGUAACGGCUCACCUAGGCGACGAUCCCUAGCUGGUCUGAGAGGAUGACCAGCCACACUGGAACUGAGACACGGUCCAGACUUCUACGGGAGGCAGCAGUGGGGAAUAUUGCACAAUGGGCGCAAGCCUGAUGCAGCCAUGCCGCGUGUAUGAAGAAGGCCUUCGGGUUGUAAAGUACUUUCAGCGGGGAGGAAGGGAGUAAAGUUAAUACCUUUACUCAUUGACGUUACCCGCAGAAGAAGCACCGGCUAACUCCGUG
This 490-nucleotide ribosomal RNA is filed under the name uncultured bacterium. RNAcentral's name for it is "partial 16S ribosomal RNA". It matches the Rfam family "Bacterial small subunit ribosomal RNA", at positions 30 to 507 of the family's 1533-position model. The record is from RNAcentral.